Molecule: transfer-messenger RNA, 373 nt
Filed under: Burkholderia multivorans
Lineage: Bacteria; Pseudomonadati; Pseudomonadota; Betaproteobacteria; Burkholderiales; Burkholderiaceae
Rfam family: transfer-messenger RNA
About the family: Bacterial tmRNA, also known as 10Sa RNA or SsrA, is named for its dual tRNA and mRNA-like properties.
Source: RNAcentral
GGGGGCGACCUGGUUUCGACAGGGGUUGUGAAGCGGCUAGGGCAUGUCGAGGACCCGUCACCUCGUUAAUCAAUGGGAAAAAACGUAACUGCAAACGACGAUACGUUCGCACUGGCAGCCUAAGGGCCGCCGUCCUCUGCCUAGUUCACUGACGGGCUAGCGUCGCAAGACCGGUAGCAAUACCGCCAGAGGUCAUAUACGUCAGUUAAGCCUUGCCGGGUCGCGCGGACGGCCGGGUCGAAAACUUAGCGAAUCGCCGUAGCGCAGCGUGUUCGUCCGCGUCGCUGCGGUUAAAUCAAAAGACUGAACUAAACAUGUAGAACUAGUCGUAGAGCGCUUCUGGACGCGGGUUCGAUUCCCGCCGCCUCCACCA